This 638-nucleotide ribosomal RNA is filed under the name uncultured bacterium. Its description in RNAcentral is "bacterial SSU rRNA". It matches the Rfam family "Bacterial small subunit ribosomal RNA", at positions 87 to 724 of the family's 1533-position model. The record is from RNAcentral.
GAUGGCGACCGGCGCACGGGUGAGUAACACGUAUCCAACCUGCCGAUAACUCGGGGAUAGCCUUUCGAAAGAAAGAUUAAUACCCGAUAGUAUAAUGAAACCGCAUGGUCUUAUUAUUAAAGAAUUUCGGUUAUCGAUGGGGAUGCGUUCCAUUAGGCAGUUGGUGAGGUAACGGCUCACCAAACCUUCGAUGGAUAGGGGUUCUGAGAGGAAGGUCCCCCACAUUGGAACUGAGACACGGUCCAAACUCCUACGGGAGGCAGCAGUGAGGAAUAUUGGUCAAUGGACGAGAGUCUGAACCAGCCAAGUAGCGUGAAGGAUGACUGCCCUAUGGGUUGUAAACUUCUUUUAUAUGGGAAUAAAGUUUUCCACGUGUGGAAUUUUGUAUGUACCAUAUGAAUAAGGAUCGGCUAACUCCGUGCCAGCAGCCGCGGUAAUACGGAGGAUCCGAGCGUUAUCCGGAUUUAUUGGGUUUAAAGGGAGCGUAGGUGGACAGUUAAGUCAGUUGUGAAAGUUUGCGGCUCAACCGUAAAAUUGCAGUUGAUACUGGCUGUCUUGAGUACAGUAGAGGUGGGCGGAAUUCGUGGUGUAGCGGUGAAAUGCUUAGAUAUCACGAAGAACUCCGAUUGCGAAGGCAG